Molecule: transfer RNA, 57 nt
Filed under: Rattus norvegicus (Norway rat)
Lineage: Eukaryota; Metazoa; Chordata; Mammalia; Rodentia; Muridae
Rfam family: tRNA
About the family: Transfer RNA (tRNA) molecules are approximately 80 nucleotides in length. Their secondary structure includes four short double-helical elements and three loops (D, anti-codon, and T loops).
Source: Rfam by way of RNAcentral
UAGCUCAGCGGUAGAGCGUUUGCCUAGCAAGCACAAGGUCCUGGGUUCGAUCCCCAG